Ruditapes philippinarum (Manila clam) is the source of this 767-nucleotide long non-coding RNA. RefSeq lists it as uncharacterized. The record is from RefSeq and is a predicted model, not a curated record. The transcript is spliced from 2 exons. NCBI's taxonomy places the organism in Eukaryota, Metazoa, Mollusca, Bivalvia, Venerida, Veneridae.
AUAAUGGAGAUAUUACCUUAACGGCGGUUUAUACGCACGACUAUACAAUAUGGUACAUUGGGUAUUACGACAGUAUCUAGUGUUUGUCCAAUAUCGACCUUAAAGUUUGUAAUGUUGUACUAUAUUGUUGUUAUAAACAUUACCGAUAGAGAGCGUUUACUAUAAACGUAGAAAUAUUUAAAUCCAGUUGAGAUAAACAAUCCGGUGAUAUAAACGUUACAGAAAUAUUUCGGGGACAUUUUUCGGCCUUUUCGAUAAUAAAAAUUACGCGACACUAUAACGCGUAGUAAAAUAAGGAGCUAUUUUUUGUAGUAAGUUUCGAUUUCGGAAAAAAUCAAGAGAGGGAGAGGAGUUACUUGACGCGUAAAGAUAACAUGAUAAAAGAUGGGGUGAAUCGGCAGAAUAUUUUCGUAGAGGUACAGGACGAGGAGAAAAAUGGAAUAAGCUUUUUCAGUGUAAAUUUCUGGAUCAGAGAAUAACUGGCAGACGAUAACUUACGAGGUGCUGCGAAUGAAAGCUAAAUGCAUGAAUGCGCGCGGAUGCAUGUUCACACUCAGAAUAUAUUGUGCUUAGAACUUUGAUGUAUAGGAAACAAGAAACGCUCCAUCUGUAACAGGCGAUAAUUUUACAUAGAAACUUUAUCGUCUGCAAAACAAGACGAAUGUCUAAAAAGCGUGCAUUUCCGUUGGCGUUUUUGGGAUUUAUAAGCAAUUUUUGUUCUCAUAGAUUAUGACUUUAUUGAUUAUGGAAUAUUGUAAUGUAAGAAA